Molecule: small RNA, 84 nt
Filed under: Epilithonimonas hominis
Lineage: Bacteria; Pseudomonadati; Bacteroidota; Flavobacteriia; Flavobacteriales; Weeksellaceae
Description: Chryseobacterium hominis Flavo-1 RNA
Rfam family: Flavo-1 RNA
Source: RNAcentral
CCAUAGCCCUGAUGGGAACGGCAUCCUUUUUUUUGGUUUGGAAAAGCUCAGGCAAAAAAGAUAUAGUGGACAGCAGGUUCCCGG